Molecule: long non-coding RNA, 399 nt
Filed under: Homo sapiens (human)
Lineage: Eukaryota; Metazoa; Chordata; Mammalia; Primates; Hominidae
Description: non-protein coding NDUFV2-AS1:6
Source: RNAcentral
CCUGUCUGUCAACCCCACACACGCUUUCCCAGUUUCAUUUUAGACGUCUCCUGAAAGCUGAGCAUUUGUUAUCUUAAAGCCUCUUACCAGUUUGGAUAGAUAUGGAUCUUCCAAAAUUAAUGAGCUCCUUAAUAUCGACACUGUUUAUCAACAUAAAGGAUCAAUUUAGGAAGAUUAUAAAAACUGAAGUUUCCGGAACAAUAAAUGGGAGAAUUAAUCUUCUGAAUCAAGGACGUAUCCCUGAAUCUGGGGAGCUCUCUAUCAAAAUAUACAUGCUGGAACCCUACCAAAGGAAUAAUAAAUCUGGAAUGAGGCUCUGACUGUCUAAUUAGGAAAAGACUCCUUCCUGGAAUUCUGCACAUCUCCCUACACCUUAGUGACGGUUAAAUAAAUAAUUAU